UGAGCACCGUGGAGCAUGCAAGCC
RNAcentral lists this non-coding RNA (24 nucleotides) under Rattus norvegicus (Norway rat). The record is from RNAcentral. Lineage: Eukaryota; Metazoa; Chordata; Mammalia; Rodentia; Muridae.